AUGAGGAGGCAUUGCCAAGCUCUCUCAUGCUGUCUCGUCGUCCUCCUCUUCUUCAUCCUCGUCUCGUCCAGCAGCGCUUCCACUCUAGAGCACAUGUGCAAGUACAUCGCCAGAACCCGCAAGGAUAUCGGCUACGACUACUGCAUCAAGUUUUUCCAAGCCAACAAAACUAGCGCCACCGCCGACAACCGCGGCCUUGGCGUUAUCGCCACGCAGAUCAGCCGCGCAGUAGCCUCGGACACCCUCAAGCGAAUCGACACACUCCUGGCUUCGGAGAAGGACAAGAAGAUCCAUGCGCCCCUCUCUGACUGCCGCGUGCUGUACUCAGCCGCGGUGAACUUGCUCAAGGUGGCGGCGAACCUCAACGCCGUGGUAUUGGACACCUACACCUGUGAGAAUGGGUUCCGCGUGCUAGGCGUGACUUCACCACUGGCCGCGGAGGACGCCAGGUUCCUUAAGGACUGCUCCAUCGCUCUCAUUAUAACGAGCACGUUCUGGUAG
Molecule: ribosomal RNA, 501 nt
Filed under: Triticum aestivum (bread wheat)
Lineage: Eukaryota; Viridiplantae; Streptophyta; Magnoliopsida; Poales; Poaceae
Description: partial small subunit ribosomal RNA
Source: RNAcentral